RNAcentral lists this ribosomal RNA (510 nucleotides) under uncultured Diversispora. RNAcentral describes it as "SSU rRNA". It matches the Rfam family "Eukaryotic small subunit ribosomal RNA", at positions 569 to 1078 of the family's 1831-position model. The record is from RNAcentral. Lineage: Eukaryota; Fungi; Glomeromycota; Glomeromycetes; Diversisporales; Diversisporaceae.
AGCAGCCGCGGUAAUUCCAGCUCCAAUAGCGUAUAUUAAAGUUGUUGCAGUUAAAAAGCUCGUAGUUGAACUUCGGGGUUUACUCAUUGGUCAGGCUUAAUUGUCUGUACUGGUGAGAUAAAUCUCUACCUUCUGAGGAACUUUCAUGCCAUUUAUUUGGUGUGAUUGGAAAUCAAGACUGUUACUUUGAAAAAAUUAGAGUGUUUAAAGCAGGCUAACGUCUGAAUACAUUAGCAUGGAAUAAUGAAAUAGGACGGAUUGAUUCUAUUUCGUUGGUUUCUAGGGUCACCGUAAUGAUUAAUAGGGAUAGUUGGGGGCAUUAGUAUUCAAUUGUCAGAGGUGAAAUUCUUGGAUUUAUUGAAGACUAACUACUGCGAAAGCAUUUGCCAAGGAUGUUUUCAUUAAUCAAGAACGAAAGUUAGGGGAUCGAACACGAUCAGAUACCGUCGUAGUCUUAACCAUAAACUAUGCCGACUAGGGAUCGGACGCAGUUAAUUUUAUAAUGACGUG